UGGACUCGGUGAAGCUGACCUGGAGACAUCGGUUCCCAGCCUACAUCACCAACUUGGUCUCCAUUGUCUUCGUGGGCUAGACAUCGCUUGGAGCCUCGAGCCAGGAUGUGCCCUUGAUGACUGCAGCCUGGGGCUUGCGUGGCUCAGGGGCUGCUGGGGUAGACCAUGGAGGACAUGGGCAGCGGGAGCUCAAUGCCAUGGAGACUGGCUCCCUGCCAGCAGAGUGGUCAGCUCCCCCACACACAGGCUGUCAGCAUCUGGGCCCUGGCUGCCCGCCCACUGCUGGCCUGGGCUCGUUUGAGUGCCCUGCCUGCUUGGCCAGAUGUCCAGUAGGCUUUGGACAGAGCCAUCUAACCUGGGGCAGAACCCAUGGGCUGUCAGAGGCCUUCACCCACCCCUUCACCCAGCACAAGGUCACCACCGAGCCAAGCUAGGAGGAAGGGACAGAAAGGCUGGACUCUCCAGCCAGCAGACCGGCGACACGUCGGCCCAGACAGAGCUGGAGUCCUUGGCCAGCACCAAGGGCUCUGCUGGGGUGGCCCCUGACGACCCACUCUGCCAGCAGCACCAGGCUGCGCCCCGGCACCAGGCUGCGCCCCGUAGCAUCACCGGAGGCAGGGUGUUGUUGCUGCAGAGUACAGCACAGAGAUGGCCCGGUGAGCUCAUCUGAGCUCUGAGACCUUGGGCAGACCAGACCUCCACACACAGGCUGCAGUUGAGGAAAGUGCUCCAUCCUUCCUCCCAGCUCCGGUGUGCUGACCCCAUCCCUUCCUGACGUCCUACCCACAGAGAUGAGAUCCAUCAGGCCAGUCGCUCUCCCCUAGGGGUGGUCUCGUUCCCCGGAGACAUCUUUGUCUAACAUGCCUGGGGCAGGUGUUACUGGCCCCUCCUACAAGGCACAGAAAAGCCCUCCCACCGCCACAACAGAGAAUUAUCUAUCCCCGGAUGUCAACAGGGCAGAGGUUAAGACACCAUGAUUUAGGUUAACAAGGUCUUCUCUUAAAAUGCAAACAUUUCUGGUAAGUUAACCAUCCACACCUUAGCAUAAAAUAGUGCAAAUACGUGGAUUUUUUUUCUCCCUAAGGCUCCUAACAAUACCCAAGCCAAGCGAUGAGCAUUUUCAUGGGAAAGGAGGCAGGAAUCUGGGAGGGGUUGGAAAGGAGGGCGCCCCGCCAAGGGCUUUGGGCAGACGAGCAUCUGUGUGGUGGUCCACACAGGUCGGGCUCAUCAUCAGCUCGUGGGCAGAGCGUAGCACAGUAGCCCCGCACCUUCCACGAUGCUCUCUUCUAGCCUGAUGACAAAACACUACUCUCACCCCAUCACAGAACGAUGGAGUCUUUGCGGUUUCACAGUUCGGAGGCUUAAUUUACAUGUGUGACUUUGGGCAAGUUGCUGAACCUCUCUGUACCACGGUUCCUCAGCCUGUAAAUGGGGCCUAAUAACAGUACACACAUCACAGGGUUGUUACGACCGUGAGAUGAGUUAAGGGUUGUAAAGCAUUUAGACCGAGCCUGGCACGAGGGAGACUUCUAUCAGCAUCAAAGGAAACACAAAUGAAUCCGUCCCAGGGCGGGCUCUGAGUGCAUUGAAUCUACAGCGUGUACCGCCUUCCUCCACCAAGACGAAGACCGUGGGUGUCGGGAGACACACAGAGUGAAGACAGGGAGGAGACAGGGCACCCAAGGCACCCAACGUCCCGGGAGCACCCCCACCCCAGCAGAGACGGCCGCAGCCGUCCGGGAAAGCUGGGGGACACGGGAGAGCCAUUUUACCCAGACGGCAGCCCUAAGGAUGCGACAGCGGCCGUGCGGGCCCCACCCGCUCUGGGGAGCAAGAGGUUUGCUCAAAGGCCAGGAGGUGAACGGAGACAUUUUACAACCCCCCACCACGGGACCCCUCUGCGCCACCUCCCCUCCCUCCGCGCGCCCCCGGCUCCCCGUUUGGUUCAGCGCUGCCCUACACCGUGCAGGCAGCUGAGCCCUGGAACCCAGGGGCCCCGGCCCGCCUGACAGGCGCAGUUUCGAGUGGCGGCUGGCUGUCGCCAGAUCCCAGGGUGGGCUCUCCGGGCCAGGCACCCCACCAGGGCCAUCGGGCACUGUGUGCCAGCCCACAGCCCCCAAGCCCCCUCCUGGGAGCCUGGGGGAACAAAGCUCCCCUUCCAACCAGAGCUGCCAGCAUCGACCCCUCCGAGUAUCUUCAGGGCCACAGCCCAGAGACUGACUGGCACUCGCCCUCACUGACCCCUCCGGGCCCACCCACUCUGCCCAAGGUGGACACAGGAUAAGGAGAACCCAGAUGCCGUCACCUCCCCCAACCCUUGCUUUGGCCCCCACUCAGACCCAGUCCGGGCCCAGACCCUGCUGUGAUGAGGCUGAUUGGGCCUCCUUGCUGGCCGCCACCACGGCCCGACUCCCGGCCCACGAGCCCGUGUCUGGGCUGGUCUUGACUCGAGGCCCCCUCCACCCUCUUUCACCUCCUCCCCCGCUGACCCCCACCGUGAGACACCAGGAGCAGCAAGUGAGGCCAGGAAAGGAGCCGGCACCCUGAAUCUCCUACUGACACCGUGCUCCGCUCCCACGGACUCACCCCAGCGGCAUUGGGAGCAACCGAGACAUCGUACCCCUGACGGUGCGCCCGCCCCCGCUAGCUUCUCCCCGCAGGGCUAUGGGACAGAGAGGACAGAGAGGACAGAGAGGUCCAGCAAGGCCUGGACCCGGCCUCCCACAGAUGCCUCCCAGGAGCUCAGCUCUGACUCUGCAGCCUGCCAGCGGCACAGGAAGGGCCGGGACACGUGCUCGUGUGUGCACGCACAUCACCUACACCCUCAGGCACUUGCACACACACGUGCACACACACACCGCACCAGCUCCCGAGGGCUCCGCGACGCCCACCGAGUUCUCCCCACACCCCACGGAGCCACACACGGAUGCGCAGAGUUCCACAUCCGGGUCACGCACAGGAACGCAGAGCCCACACUGGGAGCGCACCAGGGGCACUCCCGUGGUCCCACUCUGAGCCACACUAGGGCACCCAGGAGGGGACUCACCCACGGCCACCCACAAGACGGUGGCUCUCUUGUGAGAAACCCCAAAAUCCCAUUGUUGGGGUCUGAAACUGCUGCUCAGACCCAAAACUGUCACUGCCAGGGCUACCCUGGACCCUGGGGGACGGUGAGAACACGCUUUCUGCUUUGAGGGGAGGGCGCCAGGAGCCCCGGGCAGACAAGGGCAGGAGACCGAUCAGAUCUGGCCAGCUCAGCAGGACCCCACAGACUCAUGAAUUUUUCAGAGGCACCCAAAGUGAAGAGCGAAGCUGCCAAUGGGGUCCCGGGGGUCCUGCUUUAAAUUAUUCACAGCCGAGCAAGGGUGGUAGCAUCUGGCCCCAAGGCCCCGACUUCAGGUGUAGCCUCCCUGAGCCCCGGCCGGAGCCAGCCCUGUGGCCGGCAGGCAGGGCACCUCCCUGGGCCUCCACAUCUUCCUCGGCAGCCCAGGCACACGAGCCCUUUGUGAGUGCCACUCCGUGUCCCCGGCUUGGGCCCCCAGGCCUCAGGUUGUGGCCCCCCCCCCACUCCGGACGGCAACGUAGGGCUGUGGUGCCCAGCUGCCCACGGGGCUCCUCAAGCUGACACCCUACCCCCCAAGCCUGGUGGACCCUGCCCCUUACCCUGCUCAGCAGCCCCUGCUUGCGGUAGGAAAGGGCCCCCCCACCACUGGGGCAAAGGAAGGCCCCCCAGCUCCCUCCACAUCCCAAGCCUGCACCCCCACCUGACUCCUGCAGGCCACCGCCAUGGCUCCAGCGGCCACUCCGGAGCUGGACAGCGGCAGAGACAGGAGGGGAGCCCACCGGCCGCACCUGCGAACACGCACUUAGUGCCGCUCAUUCAGACACCUGCUCUGUCCCUGGCGCCUUGCUACCUGCAAUGCUACUGAGACCAGGGGCUGUCAAAGCUCAGUCCGGGCCCCUCAGGUCCCAAGAACCUUCUAGAAGGCCCUAGAGGUCGAAACUGCUUCCAUAGUCCUAUCAAGACCUUUUCUCUGUCACUACUGUUCUCUCUUAUAUGUGGAGUUUUCCGGAGGCCGUGACGUGUGAUGACGCCACACGUUUGUCACUAUGUGACGGGGUGAGAACCGAGGGCCAGAGUGUCACACGAGAGGCUGUGCGAGUCCCCCCACCCCAGCCCUCCCCUGUGACGGGGGCUCAUCUCCCUGCAGUGUCUCAAGCCCGAGGUGUGGCCAGUGCCCACCGGACCCCAGAAACCCACCUUCCGAGUGUGGGCGGCUCCAGGAACAGCCUGGGCACUUCCCGCCGUCCUGCUGGCAGGGUGCUGGAGGCAGGGGAGCCCCCUUGCUGGACCCUGGGGAACAUCCCGGGGAGGCGUGCUGCCCCUGUGGAGGCCCAGAGCCACCGCACCCCGCCGGGCUGAGGCCCCAGGUUUCUGCCUCCUCCA
Long non-coding RNA from Herpailurus yagouaroundi (jaguarundi), 4447 nucleotides. RefSeq lists it as uncharacterized. The record is from RefSeq and is a predicted model, not a curated record. The transcript has 3 exons. NCBI's taxonomy places the organism in Eukaryota, Metazoa, Chordata, Mammalia, Carnivora, Felidae.